UAUACAAUGAGACCAUUUACUUUUGAUACAAUGAGGUCACAAUCAUCAUUGGCUGUUGGAUUUGAUAUCGGGUGGUUGAGGAUGUAUCAUUGUUUGGGCACCAAGUCCAAAAACAUUUCUCAAUUGUUGUGUCGCACUUUUAUCUAUUGGAUUUCAUGUCCAAUAGCUAAAGUGAUUGUGACCUCCUUGUAUAAAAAAUAAAUAGUCUCAUACUAUA
Molecule: microRNA precursor, 217 nt
Filed under: Amborella trichopoda
Lineage: Eukaryota; Viridiplantae; Streptophyta; Magnoliopsida; Amborellales; Amborellaceae
Description: miR8614 stem-loop (atr-MIR8614)
Source: miRBase by way of RNAcentral